This 368-nucleotide ribosomal RNA is filed under the name Dermacentor nuttalli. Its description in RNAcentral is "partial 16S ribosomal RNA". The record is from RNAcentral. Lineage: Eukaryota; Metazoa; Arthropoda; Arachnida; Ixodida; Ixodidae.
UUUAAAUUGCUGUAGUAUUUUGACUAUACAAAGGUAUUGUAAUAAGGUUUUAAUUGAAUGCUAAAAGAAUGGAAUUACAGGGAAAAGUUUUUUUAAAUUUAAUAAUUGAAGUUAUUUUAAUUUGUGAAGAAACAAUUAUAUAAAUUAAAGACAAGAAGACCCUAAGAAUUUAAGAAUUUUUAUUAAUAUAUUAUAUGUAUAUAUAUAUAAAUAAAAUUCUUAGUUGGGGCAACUAAAAAAUAUAUUAAACUUUUUUUUUAAAAAAAUGACCCAUUAUUAAUGAUAAUAUGAAAAAAAUACUCUAGGGAUAACAGCGUAAUAAUUUUUGAUAGAUCUUAUAGACAAAAUAGAUUGCGACCUCGAUGUUG